AAGAAAAUAUAACAAGAUUAAAGACGCCGUUUGAGUAGUAUUUAGGUGAUCAUCAACGGAAGCCAUAAUCCUCACUUUAUACACAUCCAAGCUCAUUAGCUUUAGUCACAAAUAAAUUGUUUUGUAAACAUUUUAAAUACUUUUUCAUAAACAUUAACAAUGUAUCACUAAUUAUUUAUAAAAAUUCUAUAAAAGAUAAUCUUAGGUAAACACUCAUGGAAAUAACAUGUCAUAAAUCAAUACAGUGGUCAGUGACCGGAAAUUUAAUUACACGUGUAUUGUCAGAUUAACUCUUCAAUCCAUUUAAAUCCCGAAGGUCAUGAUUUGACAUAUGUGUUUUAGUUUGAGAUAAAAAUGAAUUUUGAAGGCUUUUGUUAACCUUGGGACCGUAAAUUUAGUUCGACUCAACCGAAAUUUCGACUCAUCCAAUUUCGACUCAUCAGGAGUCGAAUUACAUACUUUUGUAUGGAAUAAAGUUCGGGACCACGUGAAAACUUCGACUCAUCCGAAAUUUCGAGUCAACCGAGUUCGAGACAACCAGAGUUAACUGUAAUUCUAUA
RNAcentral lists this long non-coding RNA (560 nucleotides) under Mytilus galloprovincialis (Mediterranean mussel). Lineage: Eukaryota; Metazoa; Mollusca; Bivalvia; Mytilida; Mytilidae. The record is from RNAcentral.